GCAAGUGUCUAAAAAUUCAAUUUAAAUGAACCGGUGAAGAGGCCUUUAUGUGAAAGAAGGACGACAAGACCCUAUGAAGCUUUAUCUUAAUUGGAGGUCUCAGGCUUUUAUACGUUUUUGAUGGGAGAUCAGCAAAAAUAAGUCUUCUGCUAUAACAUUAAUCUUACUAGAAUUUACUAAUUUUAUAUGUGUGACUAGCUACUCUAGGGAUAACAGCGCAAUUUCCCCCGAAAGAUGGUAUUGGAGGGGAAGAUUGCGACCUCGAUGUUGGC
This 272-nucleotide ribosomal RNA is filed under the name Mytilus galloprovincialis (Mediterranean mussel). RNAcentral's name for it is "partial 16S ribosomal RNA". The stretch from base 30 to 272 matches the Rfam family "Bacterial large subunit ribosomal RNA", at positions 2049 to 2536 of the family's 2925-position model. Lineage: Eukaryota; Metazoa; Mollusca; Bivalvia; Mytilida; Mytilidae. The record is from RNAcentral.